UAUCAGAAGUUUACACUCACAAUAGAAUCGCCUCCUGGUGCCACCCCUAUUGCUCUUCAUAAUACAUUUACGCUAUUAGAGCCCUUUGCUAUUAGGGGCAGUUUUCUUAUUUGCCUCUAAAGGUGGACAAAUAGGGGUGGUUAUAUUUAUUUGCCUGUAAAAGUUUAUCCAAUAGGGGCAGUAUUUGUAUAUCCGCCUCAAUAGAUAGUAUUUUCCUAACUAAAAUAUUAGAAUCACAUAUCCUAUAGGGGCAGAUUGAUUGUACGCCCCUAAAGGUUAUCCAAUAGGGGUGGUAUUUUGUGCCCUCCCCAACAAAGAUUUGUUUCCAAGUAAAAAUAUAAAGCAUCACGCCACCAUAUACCCUAUAGGGGCAGUUUUAUUUGUUCGCUGCUAAUUUUGCUACUAUAGUGGCACUUUAUUUCCCGCCCCUAAAGGGUUUUUUUUUUUUUAAAUGAAAGGAAAAAAAAAGGGCAUAAUUUAGGGCAUUCCAGCCAUUUUUUGUUUUGCUCCCGCUUUUUUCCCAAUCCCGUGGUCCCCUUCUUGAUCUCCUGCGAAACUCUAACCCCAGCUUCAUCUCCUGUUCUGUGCUUCAAUUAAUGGAGUGUUAAGCUUCCACCUUCCAAUACUGGCGAGGAAAUGGGAAAAGCUAAGGCAUAGAAGGCUAGAACCAGAACAGGACCCUCUGAUUUUGCUCUGUUUCACGAGAGAGAGAGAGAGAGAGCUAUCUGUGUAUUUCAGAAGCUAAAGAGUAAGGUUAAGCGGCGAUGAGGAGCUUCACAAGAUUGUUUACUCGAAUAGUUCGAAGUAGAAGAGAACUCCAGAGAGAAGAUAAGGCCCCGUUCUCUAGUCGUUGCCUCUUCUUUGCUUCUUCUACAAGAGCUUAUUUAUUUCAGCAGAAUCAAAACAAAUUUCUCGCUUUCAAUCCGUCAAAUUCAUUGCCUGCAUCAUCAUCCAACUUCACAAAAUGGGGCCUUUUUGGAGGAUGAUUCAUAGACAGUUGUGAUGAUCAAAAAACUACUGGAGACUCGUAUACGACCAGCAGUGCAAGAUGAUGGUGGGGACAUUGAGUAUCGAGGAUACGACCUGUAUGGUUUUCCCCCAUCUUAUCCUGUCAUGCCAUCAGAGAAGUUGACAUAAUUGGGGUGAGUUGCUUUUCUUCGAAGAAUUUAUGACGUAGAAAAUGAGGGCAUCAUGCUGGCAGGAGAAGAGAAUGAGAUCCAAGACCUUUACAAAUCAAAUUUGAUUUACAUUUCACAUGAUAGAAAAAAUGUAUCUUGCUACUUCGAAUAGAAUGGUUUUACUAUUUUUGUAAUGUUUUCAAUUUCUUUUGCUUAGGCUUAAAGAACUGAGUCUGUAGAACAAUAUUUUGAAAUGACCCACAAUCAUUUUCUCUGUCAAGACUUGUUUAAUCAUUUCAAUCAUUUCCUCUUUUGUCAA
Molecule: long non-coding RNA, 1437 nt
Organism: Macadamia integrifolia
Lineage: Eukaryota; Viridiplantae; Streptophyta; Magnoliopsida; Proteales; Proteaceae
Exons: 3
Source: RefSeq, a predicted model, not a curated record